RNAcentral lists this long non-coding RNA (3355 nucleotides) under Hordeum vulgare. RNAcentral describes it as "long non-coding RNA (HVUL_LNC016069)". Lineage: Eukaryota; Viridiplantae; Streptophyta; Magnoliopsida; Poales; Poaceae. The record is from RNAcentral.
UAUUCUUCUAAUCAUGCAUCAUAUGUGGAUUGCAACUUGUCGUGCAUGUGCCGUGGUGAAAAUCUGUGUUGAUGCUUGUUUCCGGUUUGUUUCGUCUCGAUAGAGUUCCGCAAGCGUGUCGGAAUGUAAGGACCCGUGCGACUACGUCGGUUCGUCUGCUUCACGGAGUCAUUUUUCUUCCAAGCGGGAUCUCAGGCAAGAUGACCAUUUCCCCAGAUACCAUUACUAUCAUUGCCAUGCUAGUUUUACUGUUUCUAUCGUUAUGUCUCGUUGCCUACCACCUGUUAAAUAUCAACCUCCGGACAUUGCCAUGAAAACCUUCAACCUGUUCACAACCUAGCAAACCACUGAUUGGCUAUGUUACUGCUUGCUUAACCAUGUGUUAGCGUUGCUAGUUGCAGGUGCAGUUGCUUCCACGUGACAACACGGGUUGCUUGUUAUAUCACCAUAUUAAUGUUAUUUAAUUUAAUGCACCUAUAUACUUGGUAAAAGGUGGAAGGCUCAGCCUUUCUAGCCUGGUGUUUUGUUCCACCUUUGCCCCCUUAGUUUCGGCUACCGGUGUUAUGUUCCAUAAUUGAGCGCUCCUAACACGAUCGGGGUUGUUAUGGGGACCCCCUUGAUAAUUCGUUUUAGAUUAAAGCUGGUCUCGCAAGGCCAACUUUGGUACUACAUUUGCCUAAUAACCUAAUAGAAUUGCAUAGGGACUUUCCGUACCCCGAGGAUAAUUAAUCAACCCCCUGGCCAGUGCUCCACAUGAGUGUUGGUCCCACCUGAGCGAUGUCCGACGCCCCUGGUCACCCAGGGUUUAGCGAUCCCGAUGUCUAGCUCAUCCCUCGUGUCCUCAGAAUGAGAUACACGGUUCCUAUCGGGAUCGUCGACUCGUCGGGCGGCCUUGCUGGAUUAGUUUUGCCUUUUACGAGAUAUCUUGUGUAUCGGGAUUCCGGUGAUACUUUAGGUAAUCUCAGAGUUGAGGUUUUCCACUAAGGAGUCCGACGAGAUCGCGAGCUUCGUGAUCGAGGUUUUCUAUGCGGCUUGUGGUAAUUUGUGGACUAGUUGGAGCACCCCUGCAGGGUUAAAUCUUUCGAAAAGUCGUGCCCGCGGUUAUGUGGCAACGUGGAAACUUUGUUUAACACUGGUUCUAGAUAACUUGAAGUUAACUUAAUUAAAAUAUGCCAUCUGAGUGCGUAACCAUGACUGUCUCUUUCGUGAUCUCCUUCUCUGAUCGAGGAGACGGUGGGGUUAUGUUUGACGUAAGUAGGUGUUCUGGAUCAUUCGUUUGAUCAUCAAUAGUUCACGUACGCUGUGCGUAGAUCAUCUCCCUCUUUAUUCUUGUACUCGUAAGUUAGACACUAAAUAAAUGCUUAGUCGCGUGCUGCAGCCUCACCACUUAACGAUACCUCACCCAUUAAGCUUUGCUAGUCUUGAUACCUUCGGAAAUGAGAUUGUUGAGUUCCCUGUGGCUCACAGAUUACUACAACACCAGUUGCAGGUACAGGUAAAGGUUGCUUGACGCGAGCGCGUUGAUUGUUCAUUUGGAGUUGCUUCUUCUUCUUCUUCAUCAUCGAUCUAGGAUGGGUUCCAGGCCGGCAGCCUGGAUAGCAAGGAUGGACGUCGUUCUCUUUUCUCGUUUGUUUUCGUCCGUAGUCGGACCAUGCUCUUCUUCAUGAUGUUUAUGUAUUGUACUGAUUUGACUCUGAUGUAGCUUGUGGCGAGUGUAAGCAAAUUCUUUAUAUCUCACCUUUUCAGUACAUGUACUUGUAACGAUAUCCAUUCUUGUGAAACGACGAGAUACGCUUCUAUCCCUGACGAGGCCCUCAUGCCAAAUUGAGGAUAGGAUCACAUCUUGGGCGUUACAUAUUGCUAGCUGCUGCGGAUGCUAACUGCUCCUGAUGCUACAUGCUGCCUAUUGGAGAGAGAAGAGGGUUAUAAACUUAUAAUUAUAUAUCCAUUUUACAUUCUAGCAUUAUUUUUAUGGAAAAUUGCUCUUUGUUGCCUGUAUUCGUACAAUUUUGUAGGAAAUGCAUAAUUGCGCCUAAUCACGACUAAGCUAGAAAAGCGCAAGUAGGUGGUCAAACACAUAAUUAAUGGCUAACGCCUUUUGAACUUUGUGUACCAUGCAUCAUGUUUUUUUAAAUAAUGACGUGCAUGUGACUGAAUAUCAAUUGAUAACAAGUAUAGGUUGGAAUGACUUCAUUGUAGAAAUAACUUGAGGUGCCUCAUUUGCUCUAUUUUCUGUAGAAACAACUUGAUAAUGCAGCAAGUGGCGUUUCCUCAAGCAAGCCAAAAUUUGGGAACGCCCUAGCUUCAUAAUACCCUUUCUCAACAUGUGGCCCUCAAUACCGUUUAUCAAGCCAAAACUUGAUAAUGCUUAGUUAUCAAUUUUGUUAAGUCAUAUCUAAAACAUAUGUACACUAAUUCUAUUUUUGUGUGGCCCUCCAUAGUUCUCACAGAUUGUAGCACAAGAAGGUGACGAGGAACCUCUAGUUUGGAUGACUUUUUGUUGAACCAGUAGGUAUUAUGCUUGUGUACUUUUCCUGUGACAUGACACUUCUAAUUUAGAUGGUUAAUGUAAUGGUAUGUACAACAUGCAUGAAAACAAAUUGUUUCCUUCACGACUUCACUAAUAUGUCAUUAUAAACAUUGGAUGCAUCAGACUGUCAUAAUACCUACUCCAUCCAUUUCUAAAUACAAGUCUUCUUAGAGAUUUCACUAUGACCUACAUACAGAUGUAUAUAUACAUACUUUAGAGUGUAGUUUCAUUCAUUUUGCUUUGUAUGUAGUCAGUACUGGAAUCUCUAAAAGGACUUACAUUUCCGAUUGGAGGGAUUAGUUUCUAUCAGAGUUAAUAAUAAUAAAGGGCACAACAUGGUGAUAGUAAAUUGGGGUUAAGGAAGAACAUUGAUUAUUUGGUUUCUAUGUUUAUAUAUGUGUAGCAGCACCGUGAUUAUCAUGCAAAUAGUAUCUAAUCCCGAACCUUAAUCAUGGCAGCUAGCAGAUAAUGUAUGGUUUCAUUUGCAAGCACAUUCAUGUGAAUAUUAUUCCAGCAGGAAUGCUAACCCAUCUUGUGCUCUACUCCUUGCUUGAUUGAACGCUUGUGAUGCUUCUUGCUACACAUGAAUGAUUAGUGCUUUCAUGGACGAAGCCAUUAGGAAUAAUAACAUAUAUGUAUUGCUAAAACAAAGCAUACCUUCCAAGCAAUUUGAACACGGAAACCCAAACGAUUAAGCAUGGCAACACGUGAGAUGAGGAAUAGUAGGUCUGUAUAUGGGUAAAUCUGAUGCUAACUAAUUGUUAAUUUUGUUAAUAGGGUAAAUACAUUUUCCUGUUUGAGUUUAGGUAUCACCUGAUGCUAACU